This 498-nucleotide ribosomal RNA is filed under the name uncultured bacterium. RNAcentral describes it as "bacterial SSU rRNA". It matches the Rfam family "Bacterial small subunit ribosomal RNA", at positions 29 to 519 of the family's 1533-position model. The record is from RNAcentral.
AACGAACGCUGGCGGCGCGCCUAAUACAUGCAAGUCGAGCGAGAAGACGUAGCAAUACGUUUGUAAAGCGGCGAACGGGUGAGGAAUACAUGGGUAACCUACCCUCGAGUGGGGAAUAACUAGCCGAAAGGUUAGCUAAUACCGCGUACGCUCCUUGGACUUCGGUUCAGGGAGGAAAGCGAUACCGUGGGUAUCGCGCUCUUGGAUGGGCUCAUGUCCUAUCAGCUUGUUGGNGAGGUAACGGCUCACCAAGGCUUCGACGGGUAGCUGGUCUGAGAGGACAAUCAGCCACACUGGCACUGCGACACGGGCCAGACUCCUACGGGAGGCAGCAGUAAGGAAUAUUGCGCAAUGGGCGAAAGCCUGACGCAGCGACGCCGCGUGGGGGAUGAAGGUCUUCGGAUUGUAAAACCCCUUUCGGGAGGGAAGAUGGAACGAGCAAUCGUUCGGACGGUACCUCCAGAAGCAGCCACGGCUAACUUCGUGCCAGCAGCCGCA